This 84-nucleotide transfer RNA is filed under the name archaeon. RNAcentral's name for it is "tRNA-Leu". It matches the Rfam family "tRNA". From Rfam's summary of the family: Transfer RNA (tRNA) molecules are approximately 80 nucleotides in length. Their secondary structure includes four short double-helical elements and three loops (D, anti-codon, and T loops). Further hydrogen bonds mediate the characteristic L-shaped molecular structure. tRNAs have two regions of fundamental functional importance: the anti-codon, which is responsible for specific mRNA codon recognition, and the 3' end, to which the tRNAs corresponding amino acid is attached (by aminoacyl-tRNA synthetases). tRNAs cope with the degeneracy of the genetic code in two manners: having more than one tRNA (with a specific anti-codon) for a particular amino acid; and 'wobble' base-pairing, i.e. permitting non-standard base-pairing at the 3rd anti-codon position. The record is from RNAcentral.
GCAGGAGUGUCGGAGCGGUCAAACGAGACGGACUCAAGAUCCGUUGGCUUAGUGCCUACGCAGGUUCGAAUCCUGUCUCCUGCA